Molecule: ribosomal RNA, 669 nt
Filed under: Streptomyces sp. 355(2010)
Lineage: Bacteria; Bacillati; Actinomycetota; Actinomycetes; Kitasatosporales; Streptomycetaceae
Description: bacterial SSU rRNA
Rfam family: Bacterial small subunit ribosomal RNA
Source: RNAcentral
GUGGAUCAGUGGCGAACGGGUGAGUAACACGUGGGCAAUCUGCCCUGCACUCUGGGACAAGCCCUGGAAACGGGGUCUAAUACCGGAUAUUACUGUCGCAGGCAUCUGUGAUGGUGGAAAGCUCCGGCGGUGCAGGAUGAGCCCGCGGCCUAUCAGCUUGUUGGUGGGGUGAUGGCCUACCAAGGCGACGACGGGUAGCCGGCCUGAGAGGGCGACCGGCCACACUGGGACUGAGACACGGCCCANACUNAUACGGGAGGCAGCAGUGGGGAAUAUUGCACAAUGGGCGAAAGCCUGAUGCAGCGACGCCGCGUGAGGGAUGACGGCCUUCGGGUUGUAAACCUCUUUCAGCAGGGAAGAAGCGAAAGUGACGGUACCUGCAGAAGAAGCACCGGCUAACUACGUGCCAGCAGCCGCGGUAAUACGUAGGGUGCGAGCGUUGUCCGGAAUUAUUGGGCGUAAAGAGCUCGUAGGCGGCUUGUCGCGUCGGAUGUGAAAGCCCGGGGCUUAACUCCGGGUCUGCAUUCGAUACGGGCAGGCUAGAGUUCGGUAGGGGAGAUCGGAAUUCCUGGUGUAGCGGUGAAAUGCGCAGAUAUCAGGAGGAACACCGGUGGCGAAGGCGGAUCUCUGGGCCGAUACUGACGCUGAGGAGCGAAAGCGUGGGGAGCG